RNAcentral lists this ribosomal RNA (427 nucleotides) under uncultured beta proteobacterium. RNAcentral describes it as "bacterial SSU rRNA". It matches the Rfam family "Bacterial small subunit ribosomal RNA", at positions 355 to 774 of the family's 1533-position model. The record is from RNAcentral. Lineage: Bacteria; Pseudomonadati; Pseudomonadota; Betaproteobacteria.
UGGGGAAUUUUGGACAAUGGGCGAAAGCCUGAUCCAGCCAUGCCGCGUGAGUGAAGAAGGCCUUCGGGUUGUAAAGCCCUUUUAGUCGGAAAGAAAGAGUUGCAAUGAAUAAUUGUGAUUUAUGACGGUACCGACAGAAAAAGCACCGGCUAACUACGUGCCAGCAGCCGCGGUAAUACGUAGGGUGCGAGCGUUAAUCGGAAUUACUGGGCGUAAAGGGUGCGCAGGCGGUCUUGCAAGUCAGAUGUGAAAGCCCCGGGCUUAACCUGGGAAUUGCGUUUGAAACUACAAGACUAGAGUGCAGCAGAGGGGAGUGGAAUUCCAUGUGUAGCAGUGAAAUGCGUAGAGAUGUGGAAGAACACCGAUGGCGAAGGCAGCUCCCUGGGUUGACACUGACGCUCAUGCACGAAAGCGUGGGGAGCAAACA